AGAGUUUGAUCAUGGCUCAGAACGAACGCUGGCGGCAUGCCUAACACAUGCAAGUCGAACGAACCCUUCGGGGUUAGUGGCGCACGGGUGCGUAACGCGUGGGAAUCUGCCCUUUGCUUCGGAAUAACAGUUAGAAAUGACUGCUAAUACCGGAUAAUGUCUUCGGACCAAAGAUUUAUCGGCAAAGGAUGAGCCCGCGUAGGAUUAGCUAGUUGGUGGGUAAAAGCUCACCAAGGCGACGAUCCUUAGCUGGUCUGAGAGGAUGAUCAGCCACACUGGGACUGAGACACGGCCCAGACUCCUACGGGAGGCAGCAGUGGGGAAUAUUGGACAAUGGGCGAAAGCCUGAUCCAGCAAUGCCGCGUGAGUGAUGAAGGCCUUAGGGUUGUAAAGCUCUUUACCAGGGAUGAUAAUGACAGUACCUGGAGAAUAAGCUCCGGCUAACUCCGUG
RNAcentral lists this ribosomal RNA (451 nucleotides) under uncultured bacterium. RNAcentral describes it as "bacterial SSU rRNA". It matches the Rfam family "Bacterial small subunit ribosomal RNA", at positions 8 to 507 of the family's 1533-position model. The record is from RNAcentral.